Molecule: ribosomal RNA, 503 nt
Filed under: uncultured bacterium
Lineage: Bacteria
Description: partial 16S ribosomal RNA
Rfam family: Bacterial small subunit ribosomal RNA
Source: RNAcentral
GACGAACGCUGGCGGCGUGCUUAACACAUGCAAGUCGAACGGUGAAGCGCUUUCCUUUUUGGUUGGUGUGGAUGAGUGGCGAACGGGUGAGUAACACGUGAGUAACCUGCCCCCUUCUUCUGGAUAACCGCAUGAAAGUGUGGCUAAUACGGGAUAUUCUGCGCCUGCUGCAUGGUGGGUGUGGGAAAGAUUGUGCCUUUGGGUGUUUUCGGUGGGGGAUGGGCUCGCGGCCUAUCAGCUUGUUGGUGGGGUGAUGGCCUACCAAGGCGGUGACGGGUAGCCGGCCUGAGAGGGUGGACGGUUACACUGGGACUGAGACACGGCCCAGACUGCUACGGGAGGCAGCAGUGGGGAAGAUUGCACAAUGGGCGCAAGCCUGAUGCAGCGACGCCGCGUGAGGGAUGGAGGCCUUCGGGUUGUGAACCUCUUUCGCCAGUGAAGCAGGCCUGCUCCUUGUGGGUGGGUUGACGGUAGCUGGAGAAGAAGCGCCGGCUAACUACGUG